UGGGGAAUUGUUCGCAAUGGGCGCAAGCCUGACGACGCAACGCCGCGUGGAGGAUGAAGAUCUUCGGGUCGUAAACUCCUUUCGAUCGAGACGAACGGCCUCUGGGUGAACAAUCCAGGGGAGUGACGGUACCGAGAGAAGAAGCCCCGGCUAACUCCGUGCCAGCAGCCGCGGUAAUACGGGGGGGCAAGCGUUGUUCGGAAUUACUGGGCGUAAAGGGCUCGUAGGUGGCCAACUAAGUCAGACGUGAAAUCCCUCGGCUUAACCGGGGAACUGCGUCUGAUACUGGAUGGCUUGAGUUUGGGAGAGGGACGCGGAAUUCCAGGUGUAGCGGUGAAAUGCGUAGAUAUCUGGAGGAACACCGGUGGCGAAGGCGGCGUCCUGGACCAACACUGACACUGAUGAGCGAAAGCCAGGGGAGCAAACGGGGAUUAGAUACCCCGGUAGUCCUGGCCCUAAACGAUGAAUGCUUGGUGUGGCGGGUAUCGAUCCCUGCCGUGCCGAAGCUAACGC
RNAcentral lists this ribosomal RNA (513 nucleotides) under uncultured Acidobacteriota bacterium. RNAcentral's name for it is "bacterial SSU rRNA". It matches the Rfam family "Bacterial small subunit ribosomal RNA", at positions 355 to 858 of the family's 1533-position model. The record is from RNAcentral. Lineage: Bacteria; Pseudomonadati; Acidobacteriota.